RNAcentral lists this ribosomal RNA (889 nucleotides) under Cylindrodendrum hubeiense. Its description in RNAcentral is "eukaryotic LSU rRNA". It matches the Rfam family "Eukaryotic large subunit ribosomal RNA", at positions 40 to 961 of the family's 3401-position model. The record is from RNAcentral. Lineage: Eukaryota; Fungi; Ascomycota; Sordariomycetes; Hypocreales; Nectriaceae.
AUAUCAAUAAGCGGAGGAAAAGAAACCAACAGGGAUUGCCCUAGUAACGGCGAGUGAAGCGGCAACAGCUCAAAUUUGAAAUCUGGCCUCCGGGUCCGAAUUGUAAUUUGUAGAGGAUGCUUUUGGUGAGGUGCCUUCCGAGUUCCCUGGAACGGGACGCCAUAGAGGGUGAGAGCCCCGUCUGGUUGGACACCGAUCCUCUGUAAAGCUCCUUCGACGAGUCGAGUAGUUUGGGAAUGCUGCUCUAAAUGGGAGGUAUAUGUCUUCUAAAGCUAAAUAUUGGCCAGAGACCGAUAGCGCACAAGUAGAGUGAUCGAAAGAUGAAAAGCACUUUGAAAAGAGAGUUAAAAAGUACGUGAAAUUGUUGAAAGGGAAGCGCUCAUGACCAGACUUGGGCUUGGUUGAUCAUCCAGGGUUCUCCCUGGUGCACUCUUCCAGUUCAGGCCAGCAUCAGUUCGCUGUGGGGGAUAAAGGCUUCGGGAAUGUGGCUCCUUCGGGAGUGUUAUAGCCCGUUGUGUAAUACCCUGUGGUGGACUGAGGUUCGCGCAUUCGCAAGGAUGCUGGCGUAAUGGUCAUCAGCGACCCGUCUUGAAACACGGACCAAGGAGUCGUCUUCGUAUGCGAGUGUUCGGGUGUUAAACCCCUACGCGUAAUGAAAGUGAACGCAGGUGAGAGCUUCGGCGCAUCAUCGACCGAUCCUGAUGUUCUCGGAUGGAUUUGAGUAAGAGCAUACGGGGCCGGACCCGAAAGAAGGUGAACUAUGCCUGUAUAGGGUGAAGCCAGAGGAAACUCUGGUGGAGGCUCGCAGCGGUUCUGACGUGCAAAUCGAUCGUCAAAUAUGGGCAUGGGGGCGAAAGACUAAUCGAACCUUCUAGUAGCUGGUUUCCGC